ACUCCUCAAUUUCUUGUUUUAUCUGCAUCCAAGAAUGAAUUAUUUGUAAAUGAAAACAAGUUUAAAAUAAAAGCCUAACAAACUGAAUCAAAUGAUUGCCUAUUUCACUAGUGUUACCUGCAAAUAUUCAGUGGUCAAUCAACUAGGAAAUGCUUUUUUUCCCUCUUACAUAUAUAUAUAGCAAAAAGACUGAUCGGCUAUUAACUUUGGAACACCAAACUUAAUGCUAAAAUAAUGUUGACCAAUUACAACAGUAUAGCCACAACAGAACACAAGCAGUCAACCAGAUUCCACAAAUUACCUCCAAUGGAAGGGUUGCAACAAG
Molecule: unclassified non-coding RNA, 325 nt
Filed under: Hevea brasiliensis (rubber tree)
Lineage: Eukaryota; Viridiplantae; Streptophyta; Magnoliopsida; Malpighiales; Euphorbiaceae
Source: RNAcentral